CCUACGGGGCGCUGCAGUGGGGAAUAUUGGACAAUGGGCGAAAGCCUGAUCCAGCCAUGCCGCGUGUGUGAAGAAGGCCUUCGGGUUGUAAAGCACUUUCAGUGGGGAAGAAAGCCUUGGGGCUAAUACCCUCGAGGAAGGACAUCACCCACAGAAGAAGCACCGGCUAACUCCGUGCCAGCAGCCGCGGUAAUACGGAGGGUGCGAGCGUUAAUCGGAAUUACUGGGCGUAAAGCGCGCGUAGGCGGUCUGAUAAGCCGGUUGUGAAAGCCCCGGGCUCAACCUGGGAACGGCAUCCGGAACUGUCAGGCUAGAGUGCAGGAGAGGAAGGUAGAAUUCCCGGUGUAGCGGUGAAAUGCGUAGAGAUCGGGAGGAAUACCAGUGGCGAAGGCGGCCUUCUGGACUGACACUGACGCUGAGGUGCGAAAGCGUGGGUAGCAAACAGGAUUAGAUACCCCAGUAGUC
This 465-nucleotide ribosomal RNA is filed under the name Vreelandella stevensii. Its description in RNAcentral is "partial 16S ribosomal RNA". It matches the Rfam family "Bacterial small subunit ribosomal RNA", at positions 338 to 795 of the family's 1533-position model. The record is from RNAcentral. Lineage: Bacteria; Pseudomonadati; Pseudomonadota; Gammaproteobacteria; Oceanospirillales; Halomonadaceae.